UGUAGUUAUACCCCUAUCUUCCACCGUCUUUUUCUUCUUCUUCUUCUUUUGUUUUUUUUUUUUAAACUGAAGUCUAGUUAGAACCUCAGCAUACUGAAAAAUAACACUUCCUUCUCUCUUUUGUUUUGGAAAAACUAAACUCCAUAGGAAUCAAAAAUUCGAAGGCUUCAGAAAUAUUAGCUGAUUCAGCAGAAAAUGAUCCCUUCGAAAAUGCAAAGGCUCACCCUUUACUUGGUCUUUUUUUUUUUUUUUUUUAAAUCAAUUCCUGUCUCCCCUCCUCCUAAUCGGAACCCCCUUUUAUGGCUGGUUGAAUGUAGAGGGUCACCUGUCUCUUUUGGUGGUACCUUGUUCAUAGAGGGUCAUUGUCUAGAAAGUUCGACUUCGCAGCAACAACAGGUAAUUUCUGGAACACCAGUUCUGAGGGCAGUUGAGAGGCAGGUCCCCCUUGUAAGGACCAGCCUGGGGCUGCGUUGCCCGGACCACAGAUGGGAGGGGCUGGUUUCCAAAAGCAACACAGGCGGGGAAAAGUUCCUACUGCUUUUCUUCAACAGGGAAAUGUCAAAUGGUGAAGUUUAGAAUUACACUAUAUAAAUUUACUAGAAUUAGGUAAAAACAAACUGACAUUUGAAAAUUGAGGCUGAAAAUAGUUGAUUUUGGCUUUUAAUUGGCUUUUAAAUUUUCUUUUUUAUUUUGAGACAAGAUGAAAGCUUUGAUGAUGUGGAAUGUGGAAUUUUUCGGAAAACGAUCCUGUCAGAAGGAGCUACUCACUGCUGUGUCUGCUGUAACAAGGCUAAGUGGGAUGGAAGGAGAUAACCGAGGCAAAUGUGUGCCACUGGCCAGGAAUCAGGUUCUCACUUGACAUGUGGCUGCCAUUUUGGAAAAUGGCAACUGCACUGUCAUUGUUUAAUUUUAUCAUUAUUCUAUAAUGUGUCUUAAAAAUUGAUAAUUGUUUCCCUCAUUCACACUGGAAUAUUGCCCAGAUGCGGAAACUCUUGUGAUAUAGGAUGCAUUGUGCAUGAGUUUGAGAACUUUUAGGUGCAAUAAAGACCUCCUAAGUGUAACUGGUUUAGCCAAGAAGGACACUUAAUUCAUCUCAUAUGUCAAUGAAUUUGGAAACAGGAAGUUCCACCAUUGGUUCAUUCUGUGACUCAACCGUGUGAGGCCUGCAGCUCGCCUUCUAGGCUCUCAGCUUCCCGUUUGGUUGCAGGGGGCCUGCCUCUGCGGAGUCGGCAUGCUUCCUGGGACAGCUGCCAAGGCAGGAAGAAUGGCAGGACUCCCCCUGUGCACCUCUGCCCUUGGAAAAGAAAGUCUGCCCCAAAGGCCUUUGACCAGCUGUAGGCUGUGGUGGGCGGCUGGUGACAGGUGGGCUCUUGUUGCAAGGAAGCCAAGGAGGGGAAAGUGACUAUUGAGCAGACGACAGUCAGCCACACGUUACUCUUUGAAACGAACUUUCAAGCAAUAUCAUUGAGCCAACAUGCCUAGUCUUCCAAAGUGUUUUGUUCAGGGCUGUGAGUUAAGUAUGAUCUAGAUCCAAGAAAACCUUGAUAUCUACAUUUUUUUCCUUUUGAAGAUCACACAAUACAGUUCUCUGACAGUUGGUGUGAAAUAAAUGUCGAAUGGUUUACUACUUGUUUUAUUUAUAAUAUUAUAAACUGCGUAGAGUUUAGUUCCUUACUUCCUUUUUAUUAAGCCCCUCCCCUCCUUUUGGGAGACUUCCUUAAAAAUAUUGACACAGG
RNAcentral lists this long non-coding RNA (1736 nucleotides) under Equus asinus (donkey). RNAcentral describes it as "lncRNA (ENSEASG00005036454.1)". Lineage: Eukaryota; Metazoa; Chordata; Mammalia; Perissodactyla; Equidae. The record is from RNAcentral.